RNAcentral lists this unclassified non-coding RNA (253 nucleotides) under Patescibacteria group bacterium. RNAcentral's name for it is "contains 16S-23S intergenic spacer region". It matches the Rfam family "Bacterial small subunit ribosomal RNA", at positions 524 to 776 of the family's 1533-position model. The record is from RNAcentral.
UACGAAGGUCCCAAGCGUUAUCCGGUGUUAUUAGGCGUAAAGCGUCCGCAGGUGGCUGCGCGCAUCUCCGGUCAAAUCCCACGGCCCAACCGUGGAACCGCCGGAGAGAUGGCGCAGCUUGAGGCAGGGAGAGGCAUGUGGAAUGGCUGGUGUAGGAGUAAAAUCCGUUAAUCUCAGCCAGAACACCAAAAGCGAAGGCAGCAUGCUGGAACUGUCCUGACACUCAGGGACGAAAGCGUGGGUAGCGAAUGGG